CUGGGACUUGAGAUUCCAGGUACCAGGAUGAUCUUCAGAUUCUCGUUACCUCACUGCUAGUCGUAGCAAUACAAACAAACAUGGUAUAGACAAAAUUAACAUCACACCAAACAUAAGUACAACUGAAUAAUAAUGAUCUACACGAAGCUACAAGAACGUGGGAUCGAGAACCACUAAAUUCGGAGUUAUGGUCACCGAGUUAUGAUUUUAUGCAGUUAUUAAGUACCUAGAAUAGAGUCAUUCGUGUAAAUAAUUUUAAAUCAAGUUUCAUGGUUAGAUAAAGGUACUAGGUGAUAAACAAUACUUUAAACAAAAUUAAUGCCACUGGAAUGAAUCAAUUUGGAGUUAUAUAUUUUAAGUUAUGAAUUCUUAAAGGUUUUAUGUGUUUUAUGCAAGAUUAAAUAGGAUAUAAAUUUUAAUAGGUCUUUCAUGUGAAAUCAGUGGUACUAGAUGAUAAACCAUAAUAUUACAAAAUUAUAGGAACUGGAAUGGACUAAAAAGAAUUUAAUAUGCAUUUUCUAUGAUUUAUACAAGUUUCUAACAUUAUUUUCGUAUUAAAAAUGAAUUUAGAAAGAAUUUCUCUGAUUUUAUUGAUUCCUGGACUGGGCGUCAAAUACAGGGAAGUUCAGGGGUCUCAGCGAAACGAUCCUGAGACACAGUGCACAGUUAACAAGGACGGCGGGUUGAUUUAGGACUUUUCAAGGGUCUAUUACGAAAAACAGACAAACCCGUAUGACAAUGAUCGCCUAGGGACGUUGGAUCGGUAGCCAACGACCCAGAUCAACCCGGGACGCCAGCGAACCUGUAAGCGCUAUUAUCCGUUGGAUUAAAAUCCGAUGGCCAAGAUCCUAUAAACCCUGAUCUAACCAACACCGCAUGAUCUGAGAUCUAUGGCUCCCGCUGCCCGAUAUCUCGCUCCCAAUCCACAUCGUUGAUUAGCCGAUCGAUGGUCACUGGCCCAUCCGCACCCCAGACCAGAGACGGCGACUACACAAGGUACCAGGCAGCGGCGAGCACGCGGUGGAGCCAUCGCCGACCGUUUCUAACCAUGAUUUCGAGCGCGGUGCUUCAGUCUGAAGGGCGAUACUCGAACCGGAAUCAAGAAUUAUGCUAGCAGCGGAAUUCUUACCGAAAAUCAUGUGCGCAGAAUCUCCGUCCACGAUGCUCUGUGAUUUGGCGGCAAUGUCGAUCGUCGGUGAAGAAUUCCCCACCAGACCACGACGUUCCCCGCCAAAUUGAGGGUUGUCAUGUCUUUCUAGCGCGCUCGUGAAGCUCCCUAACCAACUCCCGGUCACUAUGUGGCGUCACAGGCAUCAGACGGCGACGGCGGAUUUCCCCUUCCUUCCGCCCCCCUCUGAAGCACCAAUUCUCUUCCCUGGCAAUGGCGCUCUGCUAGUUGGCGGGGUUGUAG
Molecule: long non-coding RNA, 1411 nt
Filed under: Zea mays
Lineage: Eukaryota; Viridiplantae; Streptophyta; Magnoliopsida; Poales; Poaceae
Description: long non-coding RNA (ZMAY_LNC002016)
Source: RNAcentral